AGUGAACGCUGGCGGUAGACCUAACACAUGCAAGUCGAACGGCAGCACAGUAAGAGCUUGCUCUUACGGGUGGCGAGUGGCGGACGGGUGAGGAGUACAUCGGAAUCUACUUUUUCGUGGGGGAUAACGUAGGGAAACUUACGCUAAUACCGCAUACGACCUACGGGUGAAAGCAGGGGAUCUUCGGACCUUGCGCGAUUGAAUGAGCCGAUGUCGGAUUAGCUAGUUGGCGGGGUAAAGGCCCACCAAGGCGACGAUCCGUAGCUGGUCUGAGGGGAUGAUCAGCCACACUGGAACUGAGACACGGUCCAGACUCCUACGGGAGGCAGCAGUGGGGAAUAUUGGACAAUGGGCGCAAGCCUGAUCCAGCCAUACCGCGUGGGUGAAGAAGGCCUUCGGGUUGUAAAGCCCUUUUGUUGGGAAAGAAAAGCAGCAGGUUAAUACCCCGCUGUUCUGACGGUACCCAAAGAAUAAGCACCGGCUAACUUCGUG
RNAcentral lists this ribosomal RNA (492 nucleotides) under uncultured bacterium. RNAcentral describes it as "partial 16S ribosomal RNA". It matches the Rfam family "Bacterial small subunit ribosomal RNA", at positions 29 to 507 of the family's 1533-position model. The record is from RNAcentral.